RNAcentral lists this non-coding RNA (112 nucleotides) under Palpitomonas bilix. The record is from RNAcentral.
AGGGAAGGGGAUCAUGCAUACAAUGGUCGGCAGGCAUAUAUUUCGCAGCUUUUCCAUUUUUCUCAUUUACUCGUAAAUCACUUACAUCAUUAUUUCAAAUACAUAUAUAUAA